This is a long non-coding RNA of Mustela erminea (ermine), 546 nucleotides long. RefSeq lists it as uncharacterized. The transcript is spliced from 5 exons. The record is from RefSeq and is a predicted model, not a curated record. NCBI's taxonomy places the organism in Eukaryota, Metazoa, Chordata, Mammalia, Carnivora, Mustelidae.
AAUAAAGAUUUAUUUUAAUUCCGUUCUUUUUCUUUUUUAGAGAAGUUCCAACUAAUGACAGGGUUUUCCUCUUAUAUUUGUUUGGCUUGAGUUUUAAAAAAUAUAAACAGUAUUUAAAAAGAUAACCCGUACAUAAAGAAUCUUCAUAACUUGAAACCUUGAAACUUUUUUUAAAGGAUCCCAUCCAGGAUCCCAUGUCACAUUUCAUUGUCGUGUCUCUUCUGCCUCCUCUGAUUUCCCUUUCUCCUAUGAACCAGUGAUAAUCACCUACACAUCCAUCAAGACCCAGGAAAGACAGAUGCUAAUGCCCGAGAGGAUGGUGAAAACUCUGCCAAAGGUGAAAGAGCCUAGAUCUUCAAAUGACUUGUGACCAAGGUCAUUCUUCCAGACCAGACUGCCAACCUUGGACUAUUUCUGAGCCACUUCUCUGAAUUUCACACAAUCUGCUGGAACUCAGCCAAGGAGUGGAUACUGCUCACUCUCGACCUGCCCCUCCCCAAAGCCCUGAUGGCUCGGGGAUCCAUCCCAGCCAGAGUUACCAGGUAA